GCAUGAAUUAUCAAUAUGUUGUUUGCUGAACAACUAUAUUACAAAUAUCAUGCAUUUCCUAGUUAGUUGACGGGUUGAACAAUUUUUUCUAACUGAUUCUUUGUUGUAAAAUGGUUGUCGCAUGGCGACCGACGACAGUAAAUGCAUAUCUGUCUACAUUUUCUUGCCUUUUGGUUAAUUUUGUGCUUUUAUGUCUAUCAACUGUUCAGAGAGAUAAACUGGCAUAAGGAUACAGCGUCUCUUUGUUGAUUGCAUUUUAAAUAUGAAAAGACUAAAUCUGAAAUUGCACCUAAUUUACAGGCCGAGACUUCUGAGAUUUG
Molecule: unclassified non-coding RNA, 320 nt
Filed under: Hevea brasiliensis (rubber tree)
Lineage: Eukaryota; Viridiplantae; Streptophyta; Magnoliopsida; Malpighiales; Euphorbiaceae
Source: RNAcentral